Molecule: ribosomal RNA, 435 nt
Filed under: Triticum aestivum (bread wheat)
Lineage: Eukaryota; Viridiplantae; Streptophyta; Magnoliopsida; Poales; Poaceae
Description: partial small subunit ribosomal RNA
Source: RNAcentral
AUGGACUCAGCAGAAGCAGCCUCUGCUCCGGUUGAGGAGUACUACCUGAAGAAGGCAGCUCAAGAUAAGUUGAAGGUCGCAGAUGUGCGUGACAUUCAUAGCUGUAGCGGCGAGCGAAUUGAUGAGGGCAUGCACUCUGCUGAAGCAUUACCAGCUCCGGAUCCAACUGAGGAGUACUUGAGGAAGGCAGCAGAAGAGUUUAAGGUUGAUUUCGACAAGAGAGAAGAGAAGAUGCAUAGGUUUCCUGCAAGCCUACGCGGCCUGGGCAGCCAGUACAUCGUGCCAAGGGUCGUGGCCAUCGGCCCUUACCACCACGGCUCACACCACCUCCGGCAGAUGGAGAAGGUGAAGCACCUGGCCGCCUACCACUUUGUUAGCGUGUCAGGCUACUCAGUUGACAAGAUCUAUGGGGCUGUCCCGCUGGCUCUACGCUGA